Molecule: ribosomal RNA, 301 nt
Filed under: uncultured bacterium
Lineage: Bacteria
Description: partial 16S ribosomal RNA
Rfam family: Bacterial small subunit ribosomal RNA
Source: RNAcentral
CAGUCGCCACGGUAAUACGAAGGGUGCAAGCGUUAAUCGGAAUUACUGGGCGUAAAGCGUGCGUAGGCGGUUUGUUAAGUCUGCUGUGAAACCCCCGGGCUCAACCUGGGAAUGGCAGUGGAUACUGGCAAGCUAGAGUGUGUCAGAGGAUGGUGGAAUUCCCGGUGUAGCGGUGAAAUGCGUAGAGAUCGGGAGGAACAUCAGUGGCGAAGGCGGCCAUCUGGGACAACACUGACGCUGAGGCACGAAAGCGUGGGGAGCAAACAGGAUUAGAUACCCGCGUAGUCCCUGUCUCUUAUAC